UACGUAGGUGGCAAGCGUUGUCCGGAAUCACUGGGCGUAAAGCGCGCGCAGGCGGCGAUCUACGUCUGGGGGUGAAAGCCCCGGAGCUCAACUCCGGGACUGCCUUGGAUACGGGGAUCGCUUGAGGAUUGGAGAGGCAAGGGGAAUUCCACGUGUAGCGGUGAAAAUGCGUAGAUAUGUGGAGGAACACCUGUGGCGAAGGCGCCUUGCUGGCCAAUUUCUGACGCUGAGGCGCGAAAGCGUGGGGAGCAAACAGG
This 257-nucleotide ribosomal RNA is filed under the name uncultured bacterium. RNAcentral describes it as "partial 16S ribosomal RNA". It matches the Rfam family "Bacterial small subunit ribosomal RNA", at positions 524 to 776 of the family's 1533-position model. The record is from RNAcentral.